GUCUGGUUCCAAUACAAGUCAAAGGAUCCAACAAGGAUCCAAAAAUAGAUAUAGAAGAAGGUCCACUAAACCUCCUAAAAAGAGGCCCACAACCCAAACAAAACAUAAUUCUAAGCAGCCUGGGAGCACCGAACAAGAUGAAGCCGCCUGACAAGAUGCAGUGCUGCGAUCGCUGGUGAACCGGUUCUGGGGAAGAUGAAGAGAUCCACGGGAAGCACAAUGGGAGCCAUGUCAAUGAAAAGGAUUCCCCA
Molecule: unclassified non-coding RNA, 251 nt
Filed under: Hevea brasiliensis (rubber tree)
Lineage: Eukaryota; Viridiplantae; Streptophyta; Magnoliopsida; Malpighiales; Euphorbiaceae
Source: RNAcentral